This 451-nucleotide long non-coding RNA is filed under the name Prunus persica (peach). RNAcentral's name for it is "long non-coding RNA (PPER_LNC003532)". Lineage: Eukaryota; Viridiplantae; Streptophyta; Magnoliopsida; Rosales; Rosaceae. The record is from RNAcentral.
CCCUCUCCCACCAUGAUCAUGAAUCCCACACGUCAUCAGAUCCCGAUAGAAGAUGCGGUGGUUGGAUCACCUUCGCUUUCAUCACUGUUCUCUAUCUCUAUCUCAUAAACACAAACUAACUUUGGUGCAUUUAUAUAUAUUUGAGUAUUAAUUAAUAAGGUGAUCUUCUAUGUUGAGUAUGUAGGGGCUUUGGGCUUGACACUUGCAACUGGAGGGUGGCUCUCAAAUUUGGCAAAAAAAAGAAGAAGUUCAUAUCCUUAAUUUUAUAAAAAAAAGAAAAGAAAAAAAGAAUAGAGGUGAAUCGAAAGCUAGGUAAAAGUUCAGGACGCAAAUCACCCGUUAACCUUUUGUAGUAAUUUAUAUUUUAUUCAUAAUGCACACAUAAAAGACAAUGUUGCUUGCAAAUAUAUGCUUAGUCAAGUUAGUUAGAGUGGAUAUACUCUCCUCUCCG